Molecule: long non-coding RNA, 459 nt
Organism: Gopherus evgoodei (Goodes thornscrub tortoise)
Lineage: Eukaryota; Metazoa; Chordata; Testudines; Testudinidae
Exons: 3
Source: RefSeq, a predicted model, not a curated record
UUGCGGGACGCCAUGCUGAGAGACGCUUCCCCCACGCCGGCCGGAAAGAGAAAAAUGGAACACCGGAAGCGUGGCUCAGGGCCCGGAGACUCAGAUACAGAAAGGAAGAAAUCGUCUGUCGAGUGAUCCGGAUGGCCUCUUGAGAAUGGGCUUUCAGUAGGAAGUCAUCUAGGUGUAUAAAUGCCAACAUGUGACCGGUCGCCCAGGAGUCCUUCAUGGUGUGUAACACCUCAUUAGUUUUUGCUGCAAGGAGCUUCUCACUAUCGAAUGACAGGUUUUCCACUGUGGAUUGGAUUUCAUGUGGGAACCCUGAGGAGUUCAACCAUAAAGCCCGGAUGACUACAGCAGGAGCGGUGGAUCUUGCUGCUUUGUCCACUGUAUCCAAGUAUGCCUGUAAUACUGUCCUUGCUAUAAACUGUUGUUUGGAAACCAAUGAUUUGAAUGGUUCCCUUUUUUCCC